This 219-nucleotide ribosomal RNA is filed under the name Ostreococcus sp. 'lucimarinus'. RNAcentral describes it as "partial Bacterial small subunit ribosomal RNA". It matches the Rfam family "Bacterial small subunit ribosomal RNA", at positions 135 to 356 of the family's 1533-position model. The record is from RNAcentral. Lineage: Eukaryota; Viridiplantae; Chlorophyta; Mamiellophyceae; Mamiellales; Bathycoccaceae.
AGUGGGGGAUAGCCCGGGGAAACCCGGAUUAAUACCGCAUACGUCCUACGGGAGAAAGCAGGGGAUCUUCGGACCUUGCGCUAUUGGAUGAGCCUAAGUCGGAUUAGCUAGUUGGUGGGGUAAAGGCCUACCAAGGCGACGAUCCGUAGCUGGUCUGAGAGGAUGAUCAGCCACAUCGGGACUGAGACACGGCCCGAACUCCUACGGGAGGCAGCAGUG